ACGCUGGCGGCGUGCCUAAUACAUGCAAGUCGAACGAACUCUGGUAUUGAUUGGUGCUUGCAUCAUGAUUUACAUUUGAGUGAGUGGCGAACUGGUGAGUAACACGUGGGAAACCUGCCCAGAAGCGGGGGAUAACACCUGGAAACAGAUGCUAAUACCGCAUAACAACUUGGACCGCAUGGUCCGAGCUUGAAAGAUGGCUUCGGCUAUCACUUUUGGAUGGUCCCGCGGCGUAUUAGCUAGAUGGUGGGGUAACGGCUCACCAUGGCAAUGAUACGUAGCCGACCUGAGAGGGUAAUCGGCCACAUUGGGACUGAGACACGGCCCAAACUCCUACGGGAGGCAGCAGUAGGGAAUCUUCCACAAUGGACGAAAGUCUGAUGGAGCAACGCCGCGUGAGUGAAGAAGGGUUUCGGCUCGUAAAACUCUGUUGUUAAAGAAGAACAUAUCUGAGAGUAACUGUUCAGGUAUUGACGGUAUUUAACCAGAAAGCCACGGCUAACUACGUGCCAGCAGCCGCGGUAAUACGUAGGUGGCAAGCGUUGUCCGGAUUUAUUGGGCGUAAAGCGAGCGCAGGCGGUUUUUUAAGUCUGAUGUGAAAGCCUUCGGCUCAACCGAAGAAGUGCAUCGGAAACUGGRAAACUUGAGUGCAGAAGAGGACAGUGGAACUCCAUGUGUAGCGGUGAAAUGCGUAGAUAUAUGGAAGAACACCAGUGGCGAAGGCGGCUGUCUGGUCUGUAACUGACGCUGAGGCUCGAAAGUAUGGGUAGCAAACAGGAUUAGAUACCCUGGUAGUCCAUACCGUAAACGAUGAAUGCUAAGUGUUGGAGGGUUUCCGCCCUUCAGUGCUGCAGCUAACGCAUUAAGCAUUCCGCCUGGGGAGUACGGCCGCAAGGCUGAAACUCAAAGGAAUUGACGGGGGCCCGCACAAGCGGUGGAGCAUGUGGUUUAAUUCGAAGCUACGCGAAGAACCUUACCAGGUCUUGACAUACUAUGCAAAUCUAAGAGAUUAGACGUUCCCUUCGGGGACAUGGAUACAGGUGGUGCAUGGUUGUCGUCAGCUCGUGUCGUGAGAUGUUGGGUUAAGUCCCGCAACGAGCGCAACCCUUAUUAUCAGUUGCCAGCAUUAAGUUGGGCACUCUGGUGAGACUGCCGGUGACAAACCGGAGGAAGGUGGGGAUGACGUCAAAUCAUCAUGCCCCUUAUGACCUGGGCUACACACGUGCUACAAUGGAUGGUACAACGAGUUGCGAACUCGCGAGAGUAAGCUAAUCUCUUAAAGCCAUUCUCAGUUCGGAUUGUAGGCUGCAACUCGCCUACAUGAAGUCGGAAUCGCUAGUAAUCGCGGAUCAGCAUGCCGCGGUGAAUACGUUCCCGGGCCUUGUACACACCGCCCGUCACACCAUGAGAGUUUGUAACACCCAAAGUCGGUGGGGUAACCUUUUAGGAACCAGCCGCCUAAGGUGG
Molecule: ribosomal RNA, 1467 nt
Filed under: Lactiplantibacillus plantarum
Lineage: Bacteria; Bacillati; Bacillota; Bacilli; Lactobacillales; Lactobacillaceae
Description: Lactobacillus plantarum 16S ribosomal RNA
Rfam family: Bacterial small subunit ribosomal RNA
Source: RNAcentral